GAUGAACGCUGACAGAAUGCUUAACACAUGCAAGUCGAUUCGAAGUUCCCUUCGGGGAAUGGAGGAUGGCGGACGGGUGAGUAACGCGUAAGGAACUUGCCUUUUGGCCUGGGACAACUGUUGGAAACGACAGCUAAUACCGGAUAUUAUGAGAUUCUCGCAUGGGGAACUUAUGAAAGCUAUAUGCGCCAAAAGAGAGCCUUGCGUUCCAUUAGCUAGUUGGUGGGGUAACGGCCCACCAAGGCGACGAUGGAUAGCCGGCCUGAGAGGGUGAACGGCCACAAGGGGACUGAGACACGGCCCUUACUCCUACGGGAGGCAGCAGUGGGGAAUAUUGGACAAUGGGCCACAAGCCUGAUCCAGCAAUUCUGUGUGCACGAUGAAGGUUUUCGGAUCGUAAAGUGCUUUCAGUUGGGAAGAAGAAAGUGACGGUACCAACAGAAGAAGCGACGGCUAAAUACGUG
This 464-nucleotide ribosomal RNA is filed under the name uncultured bacterium. Its description in RNAcentral is "bacterial SSU rRNA". It matches the Rfam family "Bacterial small subunit ribosomal RNA", at positions 28 to 507 of the family's 1533-position model. The record is from RNAcentral.